CGCGGAGCUGAGCAAGUGGCAGUUUAGGGAGCGUUAACUGCGCAUGAACAAAUUGCUGCUUGCCUCAAGGUUAAGGCUCCGGUGGUGUAAUAAAGGAUCUGAGAAUUUAAUUCCUAGCUGAAUUGGUUCGAACGCGUUUCUGGGACUUUUACCCUCUGUUUUGUCUUCUAACGCUGGGUUACCUUGCCAAUCAACUACCAAUGGAACAAUGGCUAACAUUGGAGUUUGUGCAUAAGUAUGUGUCAGAACUAUGCAUGGAUUAAGGAAGAAAGGAGACAAUAGGAGAAUGGAACAAAGGUUGUCCUGGGAAAUAAUAAUAAAUUAUUUUCCAAAAGAAGAGUGAAAUAUGGAACACAUGAGA
RNAcentral lists this long non-coding RNA (361 nucleotides) under Homo sapiens (human). RNAcentral's name for it is "HSALNT0209817". The record is from RNAcentral. Lineage: Eukaryota; Metazoa; Chordata; Mammalia; Primates; Hominidae.